CGUGCUCCCUCGGCCUCAGCUAUGCCCCUGGCAGUGUCCGGCCUUAGCGGCUCCUGGCUCUGUGGAGGAUGCUUUCCCCACCACGGCUGGGUCAUCUCCUGCCUUCUCCUGCAAGUGUGUUAGCAAAUCCUACCCUUCUCUUCUUGGUGGUGAAUGUGGUCCCUCAGGAAUGGAAGGAUGACCAAAGGUGGAGGGAUUGUAAAUAAGUUUGUCCUAAACCUGGUUCUAUCCUCAAAUGGUAAGAUUUGACCUAACCUGGACUCCAGACAUGUGGCUUACAUGAUAUUCCACAUAUCAGCCGGUCAUCACAUUUAGCCCGAGAAUGUUGCCGAGGGACUGAGCCUCAGGCAGCCUCGGGCCCACGGCUGCCCAAACAAGGUGAAUGAUGAACUGUGCCAAUCAAUUAAUCUUUGCAAAUCAUUCCUUGUUUGUUUGGUUUGGGGGUCUCAUCACCUCCUGACUCACCAUGUUACACGUAGGGAUGUUCUGAGCUAUCACUGGAGUUGAAAUCCUCUUCUAUGUUUUGCUCAAAUAAAGCUUGUUAAUGAACUUUUAAAAAAGAAUGGGAAGAAUUGAGGCAAUGAAAAGGGAUGGUGAAGUGCCUGGAGGCCAGCAGCGACAGGAAUCCACCAUGCUCUCGGGGAGACCAGAUGCUGUCUGAUCAGGUCUGUAAUCGCACACGGCCCAUUGUUAUUUCAGUGGGACAGGAAAAACAGUACCACUCUUGAUCAAAAGGGCCUCGGGAAAGACAGGAUUAAAAUUCAGGAAAACACGAAAUGAAGAAGCAGAUGAAUGGAUCUGACUGACCAUAACAAGACUGGCAGGCCGUGAGCAGCUGUGAGCACAAGAACAGUUAUUACCUGAGGGCGUAUAUCUCAAAAUGAACUCAUGUCCCCAAAGAGCAUCAGCAUUUUACAUCUGCUGAGAACAAUUGCUAAAUUUCCUCUGUGAAAGCUGUCAAGUGCUUGAUAAUCACCGGGGAAGGAACUUCUGCUGUUUUAAAGCCACCCAGCUUGUGAUCAUUCGUCACGGCAGCCUUUGGAGAAAAGCAUGCAGUAUCUUCAUCCAAAACCAGAAGGUGCUCACUGUGCAGGGUGGCGAGAAGAACCUCUCGGGCCCCAGCAACGUGUUUCUCCUCUCAGUGUGGGUGCUGCGUGACCUCUGCUCUGUAAUUCGUGAUAACCGCGUGGCUCUGACGUCUUUCUUAUGGUGGAUUUUUCUCCUAGGUACCAGGGGUAAAUUGAGGUCUGGCUCCUUCUCCAAAGCAUACGCUACUGACUUUUCCAUUCUAGUUUUACCUUCUCUCUUUUUCCAGAAUAAAGAUGAAGC
Cavia porcellus (domestic guinea pig) is the source of this 1329-nucleotide long non-coding RNA. RefSeq lists it as uncharacterized. The transcript is spliced from 3 exons. NCBI's taxonomy places the organism in Eukaryota, Metazoa, Chordata, Mammalia, Rodentia, Caviidae. The record is from RefSeq and is a predicted model, not a curated record.